RNAcentral lists this long non-coding RNA (1135 nucleotides) under Vulpes vulpes (red fox). RNAcentral's name for it is "lncRNA (ENSVVUG00000014506.1)". Lineage: Eukaryota; Metazoa; Chordata; Mammalia; Carnivora; Canidae. The record is from RNAcentral.
CCCCGGACUCCUCCCUGCCCUCUCCGGCUUCCCUGCCUCACAGGCUCCUCGCGUUCCCAGAGGGCUCCUUCCUGGGCCUGCCUGUGCCCCCCUUCUCCCGGCUCUCCUGUCCCCGGCCAGCUGCCGCAGAAAAUUUUCUGGAACUUGAGAAUCAUGGUAACACAGAAGUGGAGUGGCAUCCGUCAGUCAUCUCUAGCUCCACCUUAUGUCAAGGUCUCCAUCACAUUUUUGCCCAGAGAUAGAGGAGAUUGUGCUCAGUUUUGGGGUAUUGAGUGUCACCCCCUUAAGGAGCCUCACAGGAAACAUAUCUCUGAGAUUUCAACUGUCUGGGCAAUGUCAAAGCAGAAAAUGAGCCUGAAAGUUCAAAAAUUUCCACAAACCUCCUCAUUAAACUGGACAAUUUAGUUAAGCCCCGAAGACAAGGUGUAUCAGACACUGCUCUCAUACCCAGGUAUGUUGUCUUUGCCAUUCUUUUGACAUUUUCUCCAGUGCUUUGAGAUACAGUUAUGUUCAGUAAAGUGCUCCCUGAGCUCACCUAUGAGCUUUCAUGCAUCGCUACAACUCUAAUCAAGAUAGAGAAUAUCUCUCUCACCUGGAAAGCUCUUACACAUCCCUUUGCAUUCAGCCCGGCCCUCAACCCGAUAUCCGCUCUGAUCUAUCGCCAUAGGUUGGUUUUGUUGAGUUUCAAACACAUACACACUCCUUGAGCCUGGCUUCUUUCACCACACAUAAUGGUUUUGGGAUUCAUUUGUUUUGUAGAGUAUAUAGGUAGUGUGUCCCUUUUCAUUGUCGAGUAUGGCUUCAUGUGAACGUAUCAUGGUUUAUUCAUUUUCCUGGUGACAUUUGGGUGGCUCCUCAUUUGGAGCCAUUAUAAGUGAAGGUGCUAUGAGCGUUGUUGUAUGUGUAUUUUUGUGGAUGUACCUUUUAAUUUCCUUUGGGUAGGGGAUCCCUGGGUGGCGCAGCGGUUUGGCACCUGCCUUUGGCCCAGGGCGAGAUCCUGGAGACCCGGGAUCGAGUCCCACGUCGGGCUCCCGGUGCAUGGAGGCUGCUUCUCCCUCUGCCUGUGUCUCUGCCUCUCUCUCUCUGUGUGACUAUCAUAAAUAAAUAAAAAUUAAAAAAAAUAAUUUCCUUUGGG